This 576-nucleotide ribosomal RNA is filed under the name uncultured eukaryote. RNAcentral's name for it is "bacterial SSU rRNA". It matches the Rfam family "Eukaryotic small subunit ribosomal RNA", at positions 212 to 762 of the family's 1831-position model. The record is from RNAcentral.
GUACCAAAAACCGACGGCCGGUUCUGCCGGUCUCACUCUUGGUGACUCUGAAUAAAGUAGCGGAUCGCACGGCCUUGCGCCGGCGACGGACCAUUCAAGUGUCUGCCCUAUCAGCUUUCGAUGGUAAGUGACCUGCUUACCAUGGCUUUCACGGGUAACGGGGAAUCUGGGUUCGAUUCCGGAGAGGGAGCAUGAGAAACGGCUACCACUUCCAAGGAAGGCAGCAGGCGCGCAAAUUACCCAAUCCCGACACGGGGAGGUAGUGACGAAAAAUAACAAUGCCGCCCUCUGCGAGGGAGGUAAUUGGAAUGAGCACAAUUUACAAACCUUAGCGAGGAUCUAUUGGAGGGCAAGUCUGGUGCCAGCAGCCGCGGUAAUUCCAGCUCCAAUAGCGUAUAUUAAAGUUGUUGCAGUUAAAAAGCUCGUAGUUGGACCUCAGGAGCGAGAGGCGCGGCUGGGCGCGGCCUUCGCGCAAGCGGGGUCGUCGUUCCGGCCAGCCUGAAUCGUUCCCUCCGCAGGCUCUCCGGUCGUGCUAUUAGCUUAGUGCGGCCGGCAGGUCUGCCGCUUACUUUGAAG